RNAcentral lists this long non-coding RNA (230 nucleotides) under Pelobates cultripes (western spadefoot toad). Lineage: Eukaryota; Metazoa; Chordata; Amphibia; Anura; Pelobatidae. The record is from RNAcentral.
UUGAGGGUCAAAUGAAGAUCUGUUUAAUGGGGGCUACCUGCCCGGUAUUUAUGCAGGUCUCCACAAGGUGGACACUCCCCGAGAGGACCUUGUGGAAGACUGUAAGACAUAUUGGACAGUAGCCAAUCGCAGUGGCUUCAAUAAUAGCCCUUCCCAUCUUGCCCAUAAUUCCGUCUUCUCUACCUCGGAGAUAAUUAGGAAGAAACCUAAUUAUCUCCCAAGGUAGAGAC